Molecule: non-coding RNA, 269 nt
Organism: Hydra vulgaris (swiftwater hydra)
Lineage: Eukaryota; Metazoa; Cnidaria; Hydrozoa; Anthoathecata; Hydridae
Source: RefSeq, a predicted model, not a curated record
UUUAGUCCAAUAUGCACAGACUAGUGCUGUAUCUACCUUUUGUGCUACACCUGUUUUUUCUACGUGUGCUACGCCUGUUACAUCUUCAGCUGUCACGUCGAUUCCAUCUGUACCACCUUCAAACGGGUGUUAUAACAUCAUAACCACAUCUAUGGCUAACUCUAAGAUCACCUUUUUUUGUUUGACAGUGUUUAGGAAUCAAGUUAUGGCAAUAUUUUGUGUAUAAAAUAUAACAAUUACAUUUAAAAAGUGCUUAUUUCUGACAAAAA